UACGAAGGGGGCUAGCGUUGCUCGGAAUCACUGGGCGUAAAGCGCACGUAGGCGGCUUUUUAAGUCAGAGGUGAAAUCCUGGAGCUCAACUCCAGAACUGCCUUUGAUACUGGAGUGCUUGAGUCCGGGAGAGGUGAGUGGGAACUGCGAGUGUAGAGGUGAAAUUCGUAGAUAUUCGAAGAACACCAGUGGCGAGGCGGCUCACUGGCCCGGUAUGACGCUGAGGUGCGAAAGCGUGGGGAGCA
Molecule: ribosomal RNA, 245 nt
Filed under: uncultured bacterium
Lineage: Bacteria
Description: partial 16S ribosomal RNA
Rfam family: Bacterial small subunit ribosomal RNA
Source: RNAcentral